This 973-nucleotide unclassified non-coding RNA is filed under the name Hevea brasiliensis (rubber tree). The record is from RNAcentral. Lineage: Eukaryota; Viridiplantae; Streptophyta; Magnoliopsida; Malpighiales; Euphorbiaceae.
GCCAUUAGUUUCACGGAGAUUCGAUUGAACUACCAUGAAAAAUAGGUAAAGUCACAUGAACAAGCAUGAAGAGGAGAGAAGUAACAAGUUCCACAAAUAAAUAAUGGAAUAUAAUAAUAAUUAUAUAAGGUGAAAUUUGCCUUUGGUUGCUGGUUGAGUGGUUGCCAUUAUUGGGGCACAUGCCAUCAACUCAUAGCUGCUACCUUAGUUUUAUUAUUUAUACCUUUUAAUGAAAACUCAUGUUUGAUGUAUAUAUAACAAAAACUUAAAAAUUGAAGUUGUAAUAAUUGAAUUUAAUAAGCAGCAUAAAUACAGGAGGCUGGCAUCCAAGCCAAUCAAAGACUAGAGAAAAAUCGAUCGUCCCAUUCCUUUUAUAUUCUUUUUGGGUCCAUGCUCACUUCAAUAUAUCUUACAUCUCAAGAUUAAAUUGAGAAUUUCUUAACAUGUAAUUUGCUUUUCUAUCAAUUACAUAGAGGCUACAUUGUAGAGAGAGAACUUAGUACCUAGAGGACAUCCUACAGACAAAUUUUCAUCUUUUAUUGAUUCUUUUUGGUCCCUCCGCUACACGAAAUUAUUGAAUUGUAUUUCAAUUUUUUGUAGGUCGUACUUCUAUGGACUAGUACCCUUAAGGUGGUCGUACUUCUUGGUUUUAUUCAUUUGGCAUGGACCAUUAAAGCAAAUAUAUGCUUAACCAUUCACUUCAAAAUCACUAACUAACGUGAAAGCCCAAACGCAGGGUGAUUUUAAAGUUCCUCAACUGUUCACCAGCUCAUUUUUCAUAUCUCAUCGCAUAGGAAAUGCUAAAAUUGAAGAAAUAUUGCAGAAACCUACCUAUAUCGUCUUUUUUAUAUCAAUUUUGAUUAGGAUCCAAUACCAUCCCUAUCAGGUCUUCAUUAGGUAGCCAUCCACCUGUCUUACAGUUCACAACAAACGUAAACUAUUGUUUAUCGAAAUUGCUAUCUAGAAUUGUACU